Molecule: ribosomal RNA, 504 nt
Filed under: uncultured bacterium
Lineage: Bacteria
Description: bacterial SSU rRNA
Rfam family: Bacterial small subunit ribosomal RNA
Source: RNAcentral
UAUCCCCCCUGUGUGCCUUGUUCCCACGACUUACUACGCACUCCUACGGGAGGCAGCAGUGGGGAAUAUUGCACAAUGGGCGCAAGCCUGAUGCAGCCAUGCCGCGUGUAUGAAGAAGGCCUUCGGGUUGUAAAGUACUUUCAGCAGUGAGGAAGGUGGGUAUGUUAAUAGCAUACUCAUUUGACGUUAGCUGCAGAAGAAGCACCGGCUAACUCCGUGCCAGCAGCCGCGGUAAUACGGAGGGUGCGAGCGUUAAUCGGAAUUACUGGGCGUAAAGCGCAUGCAGGUGGUUUGUUAAGUCAGAUGUGAAAGCCCGGGGCUCAACCUCGGAAUUGCAUUUGAAACUGGCAAACUAGAGUACUGUAGAGGGGGUAGAAUUUCAGGUGUAGCGGUGAAAUGCGUAGAGAUCUGAAGGAAUACCGGUGGCGAAGGCGGCCCCCUGGACAGAUACUGACACUCAGAUGCGAAAGCGUGGGGAGCAAACAGGAUUAGAUACCCUGGUAG